This 424-nucleotide ribosomal RNA is filed under the name uncultured bacterium. RNAcentral's name for it is "partial 16S ribosomal RNA". It matches the Rfam family "Bacterial small subunit ribosomal RNA", at positions 354 to 796 of the family's 1533-position model. The record is from RNAcentral.
GUGGGGAAUAUUGCACAAUGGGGGAAACCCUGAUGCAGCGACGCCGCGUGGAGGAAGAAGGUCUUCGGAUUGUAAACUCCUGUUGUUGAGGAAGAUAAUGACGGUACUCAACAAGGAAGUGACGGCUAACUACGUGCCAGCAGCCGCGGUAAAACGUAGGUCACAAGCGUUGUCCGGAAUUACUGGGUGUAAAGGGAGCGCAGGCGGGGAACAAGGUGGAAGUGAAAUCCAUGGGCUCAACCCAUUAACUGCUUUCAAAACUGUUUUUCUUGAGUAGUGCAGAGGGGGGCGGAAUUCCCGGUGUAGCGGUGGAAUGCGUAGAUAUCGGGAGGAACACCAGUGGCGAAGGCGGCCUACUGGGCACCAACUGACGCUGAGGCUCGAAAGUGUGGGUAGCAAACAGGAUUAGAUACCCUGGUAGUCC